UACGGAGGGUGCAAACGUUGCUCGGAAUCAUUGGGCGUAAAGCGAACGUAGGCGGCUAUGUAAGUCGGGUGUGAAAGCCCUCGGCUCAACCGAGGAAGUGCAUUCAAAACUGGGUGGCUUGAAUACUGGAGAGGAUGGCGGAAUUCCCGGUGUAGAGGUGAAAUUCGUAGAUAUCGGGAGGAACACCAGCGGCGAAGGCGGCCAUCUGGACAGAUAUUGACGCUGAGGUGCGAAAGCGUGGGGAGCAAACAGG
This 253-nucleotide ribosomal RNA is filed under the name uncultured bacterium. RNAcentral describes it as "partial 16S ribosomal RNA". It matches the Rfam family "Bacterial small subunit ribosomal RNA", at positions 524 to 776 of the family's 1533-position model. The record is from RNAcentral.